GUCUACGGCCAUACCACCCUGAACGCGCCCGAUCUCGUCUGAUCUCGGAAGCUAAGCAGGGUCGGGCCUGGUUAGUACUUGGAUGGAAGACUAAAAAUCCAAGGGGCUAUGUCCC
This 115-nucleotide ribosomal RNA is filed under the name Mustela putorius furo (domestic ferret). The record is from RNAcentral. Lineage: Eukaryota; Metazoa; Chordata; Mammalia; Carnivora; Mustelidae.